Molecule: ribosomal RNA, 492 nt
Filed under: uncultured bacterium
Lineage: Bacteria
Description: partial 16S ribosomal RNA
Rfam family: Bacterial small subunit ribosomal RNA
Source: RNAcentral
AGUGAACGCUGGCGGUAGGCCUAACACAUGCAAGUCGAACGGCAGCACAGUAAGAGCUUGCUCUUACGGGUGGCGAGUGGCGGACGGGUGAGGAAUACAUCAGAAUCUACUUUUUCGUGGGGGAUAACGUAGGGAAACUUACGCUAAUACCGCAUACGACCUACGGGUGAAAGCAGGGGAUCUUCGGACCUUGCGCGAUUGAAUGAGCCGAUGUCGGAUUAGCUAGUUGGCGGGGUAAAGGCCCACCAAGGCGACGAUCCGUAGCUGGUCUGAGAGGAUGAUCAGCCACACUGGAACUGAGACACGGCCCAGACUCCUACGGGAGGCAGCAGUGGGGAAUAUUGGACAAUGGGCGCAAGCCUGAUCCAGCCAUACCGCGUGGGUGAAGAAGGCCUUCGGGUUGUAAAGCCCUUUUGUUGGGAAAGAAAAGCAGCAGGUUAAUACCCCGCUGUUCUGACGGUACCCAAAGAAUAAGCACCGGCUAACUUCGUG